Molecule: ribosomal RNA, 492 nt
Filed under: uncultured bacterium
Lineage: Bacteria
Description: partial 16S ribosomal RNA
Rfam family: Bacterial small subunit ribosomal RNA
Source: RNAcentral
AGUGAACGCUGGCGGUAGGCCUAACACAUGCAAGUCGAACGGCAGCACAGUAAGAGCUUGCUCUUACGGGUGGCGAGUGGCGGACGGGUGAGGAAUACAUCGGAAUCUACUUUUUCGUGGGGGAUAACGUAGGGAAACUUACGCUAAUACCGCAUACGACCUACGGGUGAAAGCAGGGGAUCUUCGGACCUUGCGCGAUUGAAUGAGCCGAUGUCGGAUUAGCUAGUUGGCGGGGUAAAGGCCCACCAAGGCGACGAUCCGUAGCUGAUCUGAGAGGAUGAUCAGCCACACUGGAACUGAGACACGGUCCAGACUCCUACGGGAGGCAGCAGUGGGGAAUAUUGGGCAAUGGGCGCAAGCCUGAUCCAGCCAUGCCGCGUGGGUGAAGAAGGCCUUCGGGUUGUAAAGCCCUUUUGUUGGGAAAGAAAAGCAGCAGGUUAAUACCCCGCUGUUCUGACGGUACCCAAAGAAUAAGCACCGGCUAACUUCGUG